RNAcentral lists this transfer RNA (85 nucleotides) under Pseudomonas nitroreducens. RNAcentral describes it as "tRNA-Tyr". It matches the Rfam family "tRNA". From Rfam's summary of the family: Transfer RNA (tRNA) molecules are approximately 80 nucleotides in length. Their secondary structure includes four short double-helical elements and three loops (D, anti-codon, and T loops). The record is from RNAcentral. Lineage: Bacteria; Pseudomonadati; Pseudomonadota; Gammaproteobacteria; Pseudomonadales; Pseudomonadaceae.
GAUGGAGUAGUGCAAGUGGUCAAAGCCGGCGGACUGUAACCCCGCUCCGGAAGGUUCGUAGGUUCGAAUCCUACCUCCAUCACCA